GCUUACGUAGUUUUACUAAAAAUUUAACACUGAAGAUGUUAAGACGGACCCUAAAUAGUCCCGUGGGCA
Molecule: transfer RNA, 69 nt
Filed under: Chlorophthalmus agassizi (shortnose greeneye)
Lineage: Eukaryota; Metazoa; Chordata; Actinopteri; Aulopiformes; Chlorophthalmidae
Also listed under: 1 other name
Description: tRNA-Phe
Source: RNAcentral